Molecule: ribosomal RNA, 508 nt
Filed under: uncultured Gammaproteobacteria bacterium
Lineage: Bacteria; Pseudomonadati; Pseudomonadota; Gammaproteobacteria
Description: bacterial SSU rRNA
Rfam family: Bacterial small subunit ribosomal RNA
Source: RNAcentral
GCCGCGUGUGUGAAGAAGGCCUUCGGGUUGUAAAGCACUUUCAGCGAGGAGGAAAGGUUAGUAAUUAAUACUUGCUAGCUGUGACGUUACUCGCAGAAGAAGCACCGGCUAAUUUAGUGCCAGCAGCCGCGGUAAUACUAAAGGUGCAAGCGUUAAUCGGAAUUACUGGGCGUAAAGCGCGCGUAGGUGGUUUGUUAAGUUGGAUGUGAAAGCCCAGGGCUCAACCUUGGAACUGCAUUCAAAACUGACUCACUAGAGUACGAGAGAGGUUAGUGGAAUUUCCUGUGUAGCGGUGAAAUGCGUAGAGAUGGGAAGGAACACCAGUGGCGAAGGCGACUGACUGGCUCGAUACUGACACUGAGGUGCGAAAGCGUGGGGAGCAAACGGGAUUAGAUACCCCGGUAGUCCACGCCGUAAACGAUGUCUACUAGCCGUUGGAGGACUUGAUCCUUUAGUGGCGCAGCUAACGCGAUAAGUAGACCGCCUGGGGAGUACGGUCGCAAGAUUA